Molecule: non-coding RNA, 123 nt
Organism: Armillaria luteobubalina
Lineage: Eukaryota; Fungi; Basidiomycota; Agaricomycetes; Agaricales; Physalacriaceae
Source: the annotation of a GenBank genome assembly
GCUGGGAUGGCCGAGUCGUUAAGGCGAGUGAUUUGAAUUCAGUAUUAUGUAAUUGGAUUGUUACAUAAGUACUACAUUAUCACUUGGUGUUUCACCGCGUAGGUUCAAAUCCUGCUCCCAGCG